Molecule: ribosomal RNA, 542 nt
Filed under: uncultured bacterium
Lineage: Bacteria
Description: bacterial LSU rRNA
Rfam family: Bacterial large subunit ribosomal RNA
Source: RNAcentral
UAAACGGCGGCCGUAACGAUAACGGUCCUAAGGUAGCGAAUUCCUUGUCGGGUAAGUUCCGACCUGCACGAAUGGUGUAACGAUCUGGGUACUGUCUCAGCCAUGAGCUCGGUGAAAUUGUAGUAUCGGUGAAGAUGCCGAUUACCCGCAACGGGACGAAAAGACCCCCGUGAACCUUUACUAUAGCUUCACAUUGACAUUGGGUAAUUCAUGUGUAGGAUAGGUGGGAGACUUCGAGGCUGCGUCGCUAGGCGUAGAUUAGUCGUCCUUGAAAUACCACCCUUGGAUUAUCUGAUGUCUAAUCCGUCAGCUGACGGAGACAUUGUGUGGUGGGUAGUUUGACUGGGGUGGUCGCCUCCAAAAGAGUAACGGAGGCUCCUAAAGGUACCCUCAGCACGCUUGGUAACCGUGCGUAGAGUGUAAUGGCAUAAGGGUGCUUGACUGAGAGACCGACAAGUCGAUCAGGUAGGAAACUAGAGCAUAGUGAUCCGGUGGUUCCGUAUGGAAGGGCCAUCGCUCAAAAGGAUAAAAGGUACUCCGGG